This 497-nucleotide ribosomal RNA is filed under the name uncultured bacterium. RNAcentral describes it as "partial 16S ribosomal RNA". It matches the Rfam family "Bacterial small subunit ribosomal RNA", at positions 28 to 507 of the family's 1533-position model. The record is from RNAcentral.
GAUGAACGCUGGCGGCGUGCCUAAUACAUGCAAGUCGAGCGAACGGACGAGAAGCUUGCUUCUCUGAUGUUAGCGGCGGACGGGUGAGUAACACGUGGAUAACCUACCUAUAAGACUGGGAUAACUUCGGGAAACCGGAGCUAAUACCGGAUAAUAUUUUGAACCGCAUGGUUCAAAAGUGAAAGACGGUCUUGCUGUCACUUAUAGAUGGAUCCGCGCUGCAUUAGCUAGUUGGUAAGGUAACGGCUUACCAAGGCAACGAUGCAUAGCCGACCGGAGAGGUGGAUCGGCCACACUGGAACUGAGACACGGUCCAGACUCCUACGGGAGGCAGCAGUAGGGAAUCUUCCGCAAUGGGCGAAAGCCUGACGGAGCAACGCCGCGUGAGUGAUGAAGGUCUUCGGAUCUUAAAACUCUGUUAUUAGGGAAGAACAUAUGUGUAAGUAACUGUGCACAUCUUGACGGUACCUAAUCAGAAAGCCACGGCUAACUACGUG